AUCAGGAAAUAGUUUAUUAAAAAUUUUAAUUUUGGAGGUUAAAGAUGGAGUUGUCUCUUUUCCUGA
This 66-nucleotide transfer RNA is filed under the name Anoplistes halodendri. RNAcentral's name for it is "tRNA-Pro". Lineage: Eukaryota; Metazoa; Arthropoda; Insecta; Coleoptera; Cerambycidae. The record is from RNAcentral.